This is a long non-coding RNA of Vespa crabro (European hornet), 2432 nucleotides long. RefSeq lists it as uncharacterized. Lineage: Eukaryota; Metazoa; Arthropoda; Insecta; Hymenoptera; Vespidae. The transcript is spliced from 5 exons. The record is from RefSeq and is a predicted model, not a curated record.
CUUUAUAAGGCUUCAUACUAUCGGUGUUAAUGUGAAGGCCAUUUAGGAUUUACCUGUGCUAGCGACAUGGAGUUUUGUUAAUCUUCUUAUUACGGUGUAUGAUAUAAACGUGUAGAAGGUGACUGAAUGCCUGAGUUACAAUUGAAAGAAAAUUUGGAAGCCAAUGAAAAGGACAUUCUAUUAUAAUACAUAAUAUUCUACGAAUCGAUGAAGCUUUAUACACAGUACAGUGAAGAUAGAGUUUUGUUUUUCAUUGUUCUUCGUAUGUAGCUGAAAAUAAGUUAAAUGAAAGUUUUUUGUUGCCGCAUGAUAAACAAAGUUAGGGAAGGUGACCUCCCUCUCACUAUUCAAUGAUAUGAUCCCUACGACACACUCGACUGUUCUGCUACAAAUGUAGAUCUUAUUGUGUAGUUGUUCAUGCAGCCAUGAAUAGGUCAAUUCUUAUUUCAAUAAGGUAAAAGAAUCGUGAAGUUGACUAUUUUUAAGUUUAUUUAAAUUUGUUUGCGUUUUGUGAUUUCAAUUAACUUCUAUGAGUGUGUGUAUUUGAAUAGAUUGCGCGCAAAGUUUUAGAGUCAAUUUUUGUCGUAUAAAGUUUUAUGUAAGGCUGUUCACUACCUUUUGUUCAAAGCGUAUGUGUCUUAAGCGAUAGGUAUGUGGACAAAAUAUGAACUACGAAACAAGCGGGAAAUGCCGUAACCAUCAUACGUCUGUCGUAUCGAUGUAUAAGCUUGUGUUGAUUAUUCCACCCUCACGCGACAUAUCAAUUGGUUUCGUGUAGGUAGAGUUAAUAGUUUAGUAGACUGUGAACGAACUUUUCAGUCUCUCAUAUGUAUAUCUUUUUUUAUGGUAGCAUGCGUGUCUCACAGUGAUUCGUGUUAGAUAGGACGUCUGUACAUAUUUGUUUUACGAUAAAAGCAUAGAAAUAAUAAAUAAAAUUGACGCAUAUAGGAAUUAGUAUAUAAAUCUAUUUAUAUUAGUAUAUAAAUAGUGAAUAAGAAACAAUGUGAAAACAAAUGCAUAAAGAUCAUAAGGUACUAAGAUAAAGAAACACCAUGGCGGAUAAAAACAAAAGAAACGUUACUUUUUUUCAUAUGCCGUUUGUAUUAGUCAUGUAAAAUUAUACAUUUCUUCUUCUUUUGUUAUCAUAAAUUACCGUCAUCAUAUAUAUCAUGAUGUAUACAAUAUAAGUAUAUUCUUUUAUUUCUUCUUAUUACUGUUGUUAUUACUAUAUUAUUACAUUACAUAUUAUUAUUAUAGUAUAGUAGUAAUAAUAAUAAUAAUAUGAAGUGAACUACUAUAGAGGAAACUAUAACAAAAUAGCAUUGGGAGAAAAAUCUCGUAGAUUAUGUGGAAACGAACUCAUAUUUUGAUCUUUAUGAAAAAUAAUGUAUAAUAUGUUUAAAAAUUAUUAAUUCUGAAAAAAUAAUCGACAAAUAUAUAUACUUUACAUGCAUUUGUCAUGGAACAAAAUUAUACAGCUACUAUGUCCUACCUAGCACAGAUCACUGUGAAAUUCACAUCAGUCAUUAGCUGGUAGUAAUAUAACAGAUUGGAUAAUAAUACCUUACUAAAUUAUCAAAUAAAGAGAAAAAUAAGGAGAAAAAGAGUAAAUUAGUUCAUUAUUUUCAUUUACAUUGAUUUGACUAAAACAAAUAACCGGAAUCAUUGAGCUUCAAAUUUAAGAUUUCCUAAAUUACGGAUCUAUGUGCUUGAUUUAUAUGUACUUUGUAGAAUCUUUGUCUUUUUAGUCUAUAAAAUCUAAAAGAAAUUACAAAUUUUUUCAAAAUUUACCAAUAAUUUAUAAAUUUAGAUCCCUUGACAUAAACGAUUGGACAUGUAUUUUCUUAUUUUUAUCAUAAAAUCAUCUGACCAAAGUUUAUUAUGACCAAAAAAAUUUUUUUUUUGAACAUUUUAAAGGCAAGAUUUAAUCUACGGCAUAUUAGUUUCAAAGUUUUGAAAAAGUUUUUUAUUUGUGCAUAAACAAUUUUCCAAAAAUACCAUUUUUAACACAAUUUUUUUUCGAAAAAAAAGCUUUUUAAAAAAUUUGAGAUCAAUAGAUUAAACCUUCUUCUCAUUGAUGGCAUAAACCAUUAAAAAUCCUGGUUAGUGAACAGCCUUAACUUCUUUUUUAUAAUCAUAUAAAGUAUACAGGUAACACCCGUAUAAUGCAAUUACGAUAUAACGCAGUCUUGAAAUUAUUAGAUUUUUAUCUUUUUACUUAUUUUACCUUAUUUUGUUCAAAAUAUUUAUGCGUUAUGUGCAUGAAGUUUUGUUAGAUUGUGUGUUCUAUUAGAUUCGAGUCUCGCGUAACAGAAUUUAUAUAAUGUAUCAUUUCUAUGGAACGGAAUAUUUGCGUUAUACUGUUAUAUCGUUUACCUGUAUUUACAUAUAGAACAAACAAUAAGUAUUAGUGAAUUCAAUUCAUUGUCUUU